AACGAACGCUGGCGGCAUGCCUAACACAUGCAAGUCGAACGAGACCUUCGGGUCUAGUGGCGCACGGGUGCGUAACGCGUGGGAACCUGCCCUUAGGUUCGGAAUAACUCCCCGGAAGGGGUGCUAAUACCGGAUAAUGUCUUCGGACCAAAGAUUUAUCGCCUUUGGAUGGGCCCGCGUUGGAUUAGCUAGUUGGUAGGGUAAAAGCCUACCAAGGCGACGAUCCAUAGCUGGUCUGAGAGGAUGAUCAGCCACACUGGGACUGAGACACGGCCCAGACUCCUACGGGAGGCAGCAGUGGGGAAUAUUGGACAAUGGGCGAAAGCCUGAUCCAGCAAUGCCGCGUGAGUGAUGAAGGCCUUAGGGUUGUAAAGCUCUUUUAACCGGGAUGAUAAUGACAGUACCGGGAGAAUAAGCUCCGGCUAACUCCGUG
RNAcentral lists this ribosomal RNA (433 nucleotides) under uncultured bacterium. RNAcentral's name for it is "partial 16S ribosomal RNA". It matches the Rfam family "Bacterial small subunit ribosomal RNA", at positions 29 to 507 of the family's 1533-position model. The record is from RNAcentral.